CGCUGGCGAGAGGUGAACUCAUUGAUCCUAGCAGACUACCAAAAGCGAAAGCACUUGACUAGGCUAUACUCUUUGUGUUUUUAAAUUAAUUUAUAAUAUUUAUGUUGUUAUUAGUUUUUUUUUAAUUAUUUAUUUUAAUUAUUUUUAUUUGUGUAGUUUUAUGUUUUAACAGGAAAUCAUAAUUCGACGAUUUACACAAUAAAAGAAAAAAUCGAUAGUAAAGGUAUUAGGUAUUAUUUAUUAAAAAAUUUCACUUUACAAUGAAGAACGAAGGUUGGGGGAUCUAAGAGGAUCAGAUACCCUCGUCGUCCCAUUUGUUACAUCAAACGAUGGGUUCUCUAAUGCAUAGUUAUUAAUGUGUUUUGCCCUCAAUCUGCAAAAUAUUUGGUUGAGCUUUUGUUAAUUUUUAACAUGCUCACAAUUUGUUUUCGUAUAUUUUUCGAUGGACAUUUCAAUUGAUUUUUUUUUUGCGUGUAAGUAUUUACAUAAUAUUGCUUUUUGGCAAUUUGUGUCCUACACAUGGUUUUCUGAGCUUUGCGCUCAUAUUAUUUGGUGAGAUGUAAAUACUUGUUUUAAAUUAUAUUUGACAUUUUGUAUAUUUUUAGUAAUAUACUUUUUGUAUUUGAUAUAUUUUUUAUGAAUUUGCAAGUAUUAAUGCACGCGUUAGGCACGUGCUUACUGCAGAAAUGUCUGAGACAUUCCCCUCCGGGGGUAGUAUACACGCAAGUGUGAAACUUGAAGGAAUUGACGGAAGGGCACCACAAGAAUGCGUGGAGCAUGUGGCUUAAUUUGACUCAACGCGGGAAAUCUUACCGGGUCCGGACAUACUGAAGAUUGACAGGAAAUGAAUGAUGAUUUGGAAUCCUUAACCGGUGACCUCUUACACUAAACUGCUAGCCCUUUCAUAAUGGUAUGAUGUGUGGUGCAUGGCCGUUUUUAGUUCGUGGAGUGAUUUGUCUGCUUUAUUGCGUUUCGUAUAGGACUUAAAAUAACUGACAAUAAUAUGUACUUAUUUGUUAUACAUGAUAUUUUAUUUUUUUGAUUUUUGAUUUUUUUGUGGAUUUGUAAGUAUGUCUUAGUUACUGAAAGCAACGAACGUGACCGUUAGUGUUUAGUUAGUCAUUGUACAUCGAGUGCUUUAUUUAACUAGAGAGACAGCUGCGAUUUAUUUUAAACCAGAGGAAGGUUGCGGCAAUAACAGGUCUGUGAUGCCCUCAGAUGUUCCGGGCUGCACACGUGCUACAAUGAUCAUUGCAGUUAGCAUCUAUUUGAGUAAGUAGUGCUGUGUAUUUCUUUUAUUUAUUUGUAAUAUUCGAUACAUAGUCGACGCUCUAUCCGCUUCGAGAGUUAGCUGGGAAUCAAUUGGAAGUAAUGAUUUCUCUAUUUGAAUUUUUUUUUUUAGUAGCACAUUCAUUAUGUUGUUAACAACUGAAAAGUAAUUAGCAAUAGCUAAAUGUUUUCAACAUGUGCUUUUUUGUCAACUCUUGGUGGGGACAGACCAUUGUAAAUUGUUGGUUCUCGGUCUUAACUAGGAAGCCCUUUGUACACACCGCCCGUCGCUCUUACCGAUGGACUUCUCUGUGAGUUUGGGGGAUUAGUUUAUGAACCCAUACGAACAGUGUGGUUCUAAAGGAAAGAGAAGUCGUAACAAGGCAUCGGUAGGUGAACCUGCAGAAGGAUCA
This 1682-nucleotide ribosomal RNA is filed under the name uncultured eukaryote. RNAcentral describes it as "partial 18S rRNA". The stretch from base 709 to 1677 matches the Rfam family "Eukaryotic small subunit ribosomal RNA", at positions 1117 to 1823 of the family's 1831-position model. The record is from RNAcentral.